GACGAACGCUGGCGGCGUGCUUAACACAUGCAAGUCGAACGGAAAGGCCCUGCUUUUGUGGGGUGCUCGAGUGGCGAACGGGUGAGUAACACGUGAGUAACCUGCCCUUGACUUUGGGAUAACUUCAGGAAACUGGGGCUAAUACCGGAUAGGAGCUCCUGCCGCAUGGUGGGGGUUGGAAAGUUUCGGCGGUUGGGGAUGGACUCGCGGCUUAUCAGCUUGUUGGUGGGGUAGUGGCUUACCAAGGCUUUGACGGGUAGCCGGCCUGAGAGGGUGACCGGCCACAUUGGGACUGAGAUACGGCCCAGACUCCUACGGGAGGCAGCAGUGGGGAAUAUUGCACAAUGGGCGGAAGCCUGAUGCAGCAACGCCGCGUGCGGGAUGACGGCCUUCGGGUUGUAAACCGCUUUCGCCUGUGACGAAGCGUGAGUGGCGGUAAUGGGUAAAGAAGCACCGGCUAACUACGUG
RNAcentral lists this ribosomal RNA (468 nucleotides) under uncultured bacterium. Its description in RNAcentral is "partial 16S ribosomal RNA". It matches the Rfam family "Bacterial small subunit ribosomal RNA", at positions 28 to 507 of the family's 1533-position model. The record is from RNAcentral.